GUCCAAAGUACACGGAUACCCCACUUGCACUAUCAUUUUCCAUGUUCAAUGGACCGUGAAAUUGGGUAAAAAAUCUAAUUUGGCAUUAAAAUUAGAAAGAUCAUACCAUAGGGAACAUGUGUACUAAGUUUCAAGUUGGUUAGUCUUCAACUUCAUCAAAAACUACCUUGACCAAAAACUUUAACUUGAAACUGGCACUUCCA
Molecule: long non-coding RNA, 203 nt
Filed under: Mytilus galloprovincialis (Mediterranean mussel)
Lineage: Eukaryota; Metazoa; Mollusca; Bivalvia; Mytilida; Mytilidae
Source: RNAcentral